This 136-nucleotide small nucleolar RNA is filed under the name Microcebus murinus (gray mouse lemur). Its description in RNAcentral is "Small nucleolar RNA SNORA70 (ENSMICG00000022571.3)". It matches the Rfam family "Small nucleolar RNA SNORA70". From Rfam's summary of the family: snoRNA U70 seems to be exclusive to mammals and is a member of the H/ACA class of snoRNA which contain H (ANANNA) and ACA box motifs. H/ACA box snoRNAs are involved in the conversion of uridines to pseudouridines (5-ribosyluracil) a constituent of structural RNAs (transfer, ribosomal, small nuclear, and small nucleolar). The record is from Rfam by way of RNAcentral. Lineage: Eukaryota; Metazoa; Chordata; Mammalia; Primates; Cheirogaleidae.
CUGCUGUCAAUGAAGCUGACCAUGCUCCUCUCCUCAUGGCAGCCCAGUGUGCAAUGACUACAAAUAGCAGCCUCCUUGGGCAGUAUACACAGCCUGUUGCUUGUACGGGUUGCUCUGAGUGACCUUGCAGACAGCC